UGGACCUCUGAUUGGGCUCCCCAUAGACUUUGACCCAAGGUAAACAUGAAUUUGCUUUUAUUAUUGCUGCACAUGUCCCUGUCUUAUAGAGAAUAGUUUAUGAGCAAACCCUGUGGUAACAAAACCAUAUGUCAUGGGAGUGUGACACGUACUGUUUGUGAAUGCCUGUGAUUGGAUUAUUGGAUAUCUGCUGAUUAUAUGUCCUUGUCCAUCAUUGUCUGGUUGUUCUUGCAAGCAUUAUUAGUUAGGUUGUGUAGGUGCCAAAUUCCGCUUCUAGAUUAGUCUAUUGUACCUGGGCCCUUUGCGGUGGGGUUUGGACCCUGUGUCUGGGUUAUUGUUAUUGAACUUUGGGCCUGAGCAUGGACUUUUUGGGCCUUCAUUUUUGUUGGUGGUUCUGAAUUUAUGUACCUACAGUUCUACAAAAUUGAUAUGACUGAUUGUUUUGUUACUUGGACAAUAACUUGCUAUUUAUGUACCUAUAGUUCUAGUUUGUUGCUGCUCAAUGCUCACAUUCGUUUCUCAUCCUUGCUAUUUAUGUUGGCUGACAUAACUUGCCUGUUGCUCUUAUGCGACCAACAUCCUCGUGACAGGGUUUGUCGGAACUGCCAUCUCUUUAGGGUGCUUCUCCGGCGCCGCCAUCAUCACCAAGCGCAGGGAGUACCUGUACCUCGGUGGCCUGACCUCUUCUGGCAUGUCAAUCCUUCGACAUGAAACUCUCAAGAACGUAGGUGACAAGAAGAGGAAGAGGAUGUCCUGAAUGCUUCUCCCGCACAUCGUAGAUACCACCAUCGCGGCCUUGUAGGAAUUAAGCUAGCGAUGUGCCACCCUUGUGUAUCUGUUUUUGAUUGUAUGUGGAAGUUGGACGUGCAUACGUGUAUUUGCUCUUGUGAGUAUUUGACUGGAUGAUCUUUGGAUUUAAUCAGUUAAUAGAAAGAUUUAUUGA
This is a non-coding RNA of Triticum urartu, 943 nucleotides long. Lineage: Eukaryota; Viridiplantae; Streptophyta; Magnoliopsida; Poales; Poaceae. The record is from RefSeq and is a predicted model, not a curated record.